GGAGGAGGCGGGAGCUCAGGACCGGCGCCUUCUCCUUGCUUCUGGGGUCGUGGCCUUGCUCCCGCUGUGCGGGAAAAGAAUCCAGGCCCUUCUACGCGCGUGUGGGCGCGGGGGCCCCGAAGUGCUCGUGGUGCCGCGCUAGGUCUCCGCUGGGGCAGGAACCGGAGCCAUGGGUGGGACCACCAGCACCCGCCGGGUCACCUUCGAGGCGGACGAGAAUGAGAACAUCACCGUGGUGAAGGGCAUCCGGCUUUCGGAAAACGUGAUUGAUCGAAUGAAGGAAUCCUCUCCAUCUGGUUCGAAGUCUCAGCGGUAUUCUGGUGCUUAUGGUGCCUCAGUUUCUGAUGAAGAAUUGAAAAGAAGAGUAGCUGAGGAGCUGGCAUUGGAGCAAGCCAAGAAAGAAUCUGAAGAUCAGAAACGAGAAGAAACUUCAGAAACAGCAUUAAGAAAGUUUUGUGUGCAGUCUUUUAGCAGCAACUUUUUGGAGUCACAGAGCAUGUAUACGUUGCUACUAAAGCAAGCCAAAGAGCUGGACCGAGAGAGGGCUGCUGCCAAUGAGCAGUUAACCAGAGCCAUCCUUCGGGAGAGGAUAUCUAGCGAGGAGGAACGCGCUAAGGCAAAGCACCUGGCUAGGCAGCUGGAAGAGAAAGACCGAGUGCUAAAGAAGCAGGAUGCAUUCUACAAAGAACAGCUGGCUAGACUGGAGGAGAGGAGCUCAGAGUUCUACAGAGUCACCACUGAACAGUAUCAGAAAGCUGCUGAAGAGGUGGAAGCAAAGUUCAAGUUUGGUGAAAUGAAGUAUCACAAAACAGGACUCUUUAUUUUGUUACCUCUUGUCCCAAUAUGGCUCCUAGUAGGAGAACUCGUUACUUCUCCCUCAUUUCAGGCAACCUGAGCACCAGUGAAACUGUGACUGGCAUUUGCAGGGACCUAAAAGGCCUACUCAGUGCCAGACAUUGUGUGGAGAGCUUAAACGUUACCUUACUAAUCUUCACAACAAUGUUAAACAGUAGGAACUGAGGAAAAAGUUGCAUCUUAGAGAGAUCAAGAAACUUGCCCAAGCUUCCAUUGCAAGCGAUAUGAGUCUCAUCCAGUCUGUGCUGAUCUGCAGGCCAAAAUUCUUCAGUGUUACCGUGAGAACACCCACCAGACCCUCAAAUGCUCCGCUCUGGCCACCCAGUAUAUGCACUGUGUCAAUCAUGCCAAACAGAGCAUGCUUGAGAAGGGAGGAUAAAAACUUUCAGAAUGAGCAAAACACCAUCAACGUUAAUUCCAGAGAUGGAACAUUUUUUUUCCUAGUGAGAAAACAACCCAUUUGAAGAGAAGACCACUAAUGAGAAGACCACUAAAGAGAGACACCAAGAAUGGAUUCAGCAGAAUCAUUUCACAUUUUGAACAGCAGCAAUUUGAAGGGCCAAAGCCUUGAUCAGGGAUCAGUCGUUAAAAGACACUCUUCACUAUUAGUAAACCCUCUUAUGAUGAUUAAAAGAGAAGGGCAGCCCUCUCCACCUUUUGGUACUUUCUAUGCAACUUCCACUGACCAUAAAAUGUUUCUCUUCUGAACAAGCCCCAUCAUUUGGUGAACCUCCACCCUAACAAAGUAGGAUGGGGUUGGGGGCUAAAUUAAUUGGAGUGGGGCGAGGAGAGAGCCAGAAAACAUAGAUCUGAGGGCAGCAGUGCUGGGUGGAGAGAGCCAGAAAACAGAUCUGGAGGCACCAGUGCUGGAUGGAAUUGUCUAGGCUGUGUCAUGUUGGUUUUGUCUCUCUUUCUUUUCUCCUUUGAUUAUAUAAGAGCUAUUUCAUUUUAACUUAUUAUGGUGAUUAUACAGGCAAGAAGACAAAAAGGAGAGAAAAUGUACCUCUUCUACUGGAAUAAUGUUUAUGAUUACAAGUGAGAUAGGGUAUUUUUAUCAAUAUGAAGGCAACCUUGGCUGAUAUAACCUCUAUAGUGAAUACUCACAUCUUUACUUCACUCAUUAUCAAUAAUAAAUAUAUUUUCUGACAAAGACUG
Nomascus leucogenys (northern white-cheeked gibbon) is the source of this 2010-nucleotide RNA transcript. It is a transcript of the gene named coiled-coil-helix-coiled-coil-helix domain containing 3, with no coding region annotated. NCBI's taxonomy places the organism in Eukaryota, Metazoa, Chordata, Mammalia, Primates, Hylobatidae. The record is from RefSeq and is a predicted model, not a curated record. The transcript has 11 exons.